This 393-nucleotide ribosomal RNA is filed under the name Triticum aestivum (bread wheat). Its description in RNAcentral is "partial small subunit ribosomal RNA". The record is from RNAcentral. Lineage: Eukaryota; Viridiplantae; Streptophyta; Magnoliopsida; Poales; Poaceae.
AUGUCCGCGCUGCGGGAGUCGGCGUCGUUCGGAUUCGGUCGAUUCCUAUCCGAGUCACUCGAAUGGGAUACGAUGGGGCAUGUCUUGCCAGCACCGACGGCUACCAUAUUGCAUGACCAAUCGCUGCAGCAGCCGGGCUCAAUCAAGAUGUACAGGACAAUUUCUCGGUGCCGACCACAACGGUCGGAGCUCACUCUGCCUCCUCCAAUUGUAGUGAUGCAUGCAUUGCCAAUUCUGGAGCAGGCGUUAGUUGUAGUCCGUGCUUGCCUGCUGCCCGGUCCUCAGCAAAUAUUGAAGGAGCUGCACUGCAUUUGGUCAAGAAGCUUCAAAAUAGAUCAGGGGGAUAAGAAGGUGCACCAGUCUCGAAGAUCGAACCAUUGCUUAUCUAGGUGA